GCAGCCGCGGUAAUUCCAGCUCCAAUAGCGUAUAUUAAAGUUGUUGCAGUUAAAAAGCUCGUAGUUGAAUUUCGGGAUCAAUAUGUCGGUCGUGCCUUCGGUACGUACUGGUAUCAUUGGUCUCUCCUUUCUGACGAACCAUGAUGUCAUUAAUUUGGUGUUAUGGGGAGUUAGGACUGUUACUUUGAAAAAAUUAGAGUGUUUAAAGCAGGCUUUAGCUUGAAUACAUUAGCAUGGAAUAAUGAAAUAGGACGUUCGAACCUAUUUUGUUGGUUUCUAGGAUCAACGUAAUGAUUAAUAGGGAUAGUUGGGGGCAUUAGUAUUCAAUUGUCAGAGGUGAAAUUCUUGGAUUUAUUGAAGACUAACUACUGCGAAAGCAUUUGCCAAGGAUGUUUUCAUUAAUCAAGAACGAAAGUUAGGGGAUCGAAGACGAUCAGAUACCGUCGUAGUCUUAACCAUAAACUAUGCCGACUAGGGAUCGGAUGAUGUUAAUUUUUUAAUGACUCAUUCGGCGCCUUACG
RNAcentral lists this ribosomal RNA (521 nucleotides) under uncultured Glomus. Its description in RNAcentral is "SSU rRNA". It matches the Rfam family "Eukaryotic small subunit ribosomal RNA", at positions 570 to 1092 of the family's 1831-position model. The record is from RNAcentral. Lineage: Eukaryota; Fungi; Glomeromycota; Glomeromycetes; Glomerales; Glomeraceae.